This 409-nucleotide long non-coding RNA is filed under the name Mustela putorius furo (domestic ferret). RNAcentral describes it as "lncRNA (ENSMPUG00000029220.1)". Lineage: Eukaryota; Metazoa; Chordata; Mammalia; Carnivora; Mustelidae. The record is from RNAcentral.
UGUCAACGUAGUGAGGCUGCUAUUGACCUCCUGACCGUAUGUCAGAAGAAGGAUCACCAGCUUCUAGACGCAACUGAGAAUGACCUGGGGUACUAAAAACCACAGGGAGCAAAACUAGAGAAUGAUGGCGGCCAGAUCGACAGCUGUUGUAUUGCGGAUUUGGUGUACAGAUGGAAUAUCACCAUCCAAAAGGAAAAACCGUUAAAUGUAGUAAGAUUCCCCCCACGAACAAACAAUACCAGUGAGUCCCACAGUUACCAGCAGCCCACUGUGGACACCAAACCUCCACUCAGCUUUUACCUAGCCGUCUCUUAAUAGAGGAGCAGGCUGAUAAAGACUGCCAUAUACUGGGGCGCCUGGGUGGCUCAGUGGGUUAAGCCACUGCCUUCGGCUCAGGUCAUGAUCUCAG